UGGGGGGGUUAUCGGAUUUACUGGGCGUAAAGCGUGCGUAGGCGGCUGAUUAAGUCGGAUGUGAAAUCCCUGAGCUUAACUUAGGAAUUGCAUUCGAUACUGGUCAGCUAGAGUAUGGGAGAGGAUGGUAGAAUUCCAGGUGUAGCGGUGAAAUGCGUAGAGAUCUGGAGGAAUACCGAUGGCGAAGGCAGCCAUCUGGCCUAAUACUGACGCUGAGGUACGAAAGCAUGGGGAGCAAACGGGAUUAGAUACCCCGGUAGUCCUAGCCGUAAACGUUGGGCACUAGGUGUGGGAGGUAUCGACCCCUUCCGUGCCGCAGCUAACGCAUUAAGUGCCCCGCCUGGGGAGUACGGCCGCAAGACUAAAACUCAAAUGAAUUGACGGGGGCCCGCACAAGCGGUGGAGCAUGUGGUUUAAUUCGAUGCAACGCGAAGAACCUUACCUGGCCUUGACAUAGUAAGAACUUUCCAGAGAUGGAUUGGUGCCUUCGGGAACUUACAUACAGGUGCUGCAUGGCUGUCGUCAGCUCGUGUCGUGAGAUGUUGGGUUAAGUCCCGCAACGAGCGCAACCCUUUUCCUUAUUUGCCAGCACUUCGGGUGGGAACUUUAAGGAUACUGCCAGUGACAAACUGGAGGAAGGCGGGGACGACGUCAAGUCAUCAUGGCCCUUACGGCCAGGGCUACACACGUGCUACAAUGGUCGGUACAAAGGGUUGCUACACAGCGAUGUGAUGCUAAUCUCAAAAAGCCGAUCGUAGUCCGGAUUGGAGUCUGCAACUCGACUCCAUGAAGUCGGAAUCGCUGGUAAUCGCGGAUCAGAAUGCCGCGGUGAAUACGUUCCCGGGCCUUGUACACACCGCCCGUCACACCAUGGGAGUUUGUUGCACCAGAAGUAGCUAGCCUAACUGCAAAGAGGGCGGUUACCACGGUGUGGCCGAUGACUGGGGUGAAGUCGUAACAAGGUAACCAGG
RNAcentral lists this ribosomal RNA (971 nucleotides) under uncultured bacterium. RNAcentral describes it as "bacterial SSU rRNA". It matches the Rfam family "Bacterial small subunit ribosomal RNA", at positions 534 to 1504 of the family's 1533-position model. The record is from RNAcentral.